This 762-nucleotide ribosomal RNA is filed under the name uncultured bacterium. Its description in RNAcentral is "bacterial SSU rRNA". It matches the Rfam family "Bacterial small subunit ribosomal RNA", at positions 8 to 765 of the family's 1533-position model. The record is from RNAcentral.
AGAGUUUGAUCCUGGCUCAGGAUGAACGCUAGCGGCAGGCUUAAUACAUGCAAGUCGAGGGGCAGCGCGGGUAGCAAUACCUGGCGGCGACCGGCGCACGGGUGCGUAACACGUAUGCAACCUACCUUAAACUGGGGAAUAGCCCCUCGAAAGAGGGAUUAAUGCCCCAUAACACUGUGAAAAGGCAUCUUUUUAUAUUUAAAGCUCCGGCGGUUUAAGAUGGGCAUGCGCGACAUUAGCUAGUUGGUGAGGUAACGGCUCACCAAGGCUCUGAUGUCUAGGGGUUCUGAGAGGAAAAUCCCCCACACUGGUACUGAGACACGGACCAGACUCCUACGGGAGGCAGCAGUAAGGAAUAUUGGUCAAUGGGCGCAAGCCUGAACCAGCCAUGCCGCGUGCAGGAUGACGGCCCUAUGGGUUGUAAACUGCUUUUGUACGGGAAAAAACCCCUGAUCGUGAUCGGGGCUGAUGGUACCGUAAGAAUAAGGAUCGGCUAACUCCGUGCCAGCAGCCGCGGUAAUACGGAGGAUCCUAGCGUUAUCCGGAUUUAUUGGGUUUAAAGGGUGCGCAGGCGGAAUAGUAAGUCAGUGGUGAAAUCUUUCGGCUUAACCGGAAAACUGCCAUUGAUACUGCUCUUCUUGAGUAUAUUUGAAGUGGGCGGAAUGUGUCAUGUAGCGGUGAAAUGCUUAGAUAUGACACAGAACACCAAUUGCGAAGGCAGCUCACUAAGCUAUAACUGACGCUCAUGCACGAAAGCGUGGG